AAGGCCCUAGCCCACGCACAUUUUUUUGGCCCCCCUGACAUCUGUUUUUUGGACUGUUUAGGGUAAGCUCCCAAAAGGAAAAAAAAAUUGAGGAAUGAGCUCACACAAAAUUAUUAUUGAGCAACCAAGACUGUAUAGAAUUGCAAAACUAAAAGCCCAAUUUCAAUUUCAUUUAUAGAUAUUCACGGAUAUUCACUCGAGACAAUACCAAUUUAAAUCAAAAUAAAAAAAUCCUAUGUCAGAAAAGUAGGACUGAGUUCUGAUGUUCUGCUGAAACUCCACUAGCUCACGGAGUUGGAUGACUUAAGUGUAGUGAUGACAUGCAUCAGCAGCACCUACCCCCACCCCACCAUUCGAUAACCUGCGGACCACAAGAUCACGUGAAUAGAUCAAUAAAGUAACGAUUUUCAAUGAUAAAUUGCAAUAUGACGAGCAG
Molecule: long non-coding RNA, 436 nt
Filed under: Sorghum bicolor (sorghum)
Lineage: Eukaryota; Viridiplantae; Streptophyta; Magnoliopsida; Poales; Poaceae
Description: long non-coding RNA (SBIC_LNC006119)
Source: RNAcentral